Non-coding RNA from Salvelinus sp. IW2-2015, 158 nucleotides. Lineage: Eukaryota; Metazoa; Chordata; Actinopteri; Salmoniformes; Salmonidae. The record is from RefSeq and is a predicted model, not a curated record.
UCACUUACCUGCAAGGGAGUACUGUGUUCAAGACACGGUUCACCCAGUGGUGAGCGUUAGCCAUUGCAUUCUCGGCUGUGCUGAAGCUAGUGAAUUUCCAAUGUGAAAUCUUUGCAUAAUCUUAUGGUAGUGGGGAUCUGCGUCUGCGCCUCCCCUGA